RNAcentral lists this ribosomal RNA (447 nucleotides) under uncultured bacterium. RNAcentral's name for it is "partial 16S ribosomal RNA". It matches the Rfam family "Bacterial small subunit ribosomal RNA", at positions 29 to 523 of the family's 1533-position model. The record is from RNAcentral.
AGCGAACGCUGGCGGCAGGCCUAACACAUGCAAGUCGAGCGCCCCGCAAGGGGAGCGGCAGACGGGAGAGUAACACGUGGGAACGUACCCUUUGGUUCGGAACAACCCAGGGAAACUUGGGCUAAUACCGGAUAAGCCCUUACGGGGAAAGAUUCAUCGCCGAAGGAUCGGCCCGCGUCUGAUUAGCUAGUUGGUGGGGUAACGGCCCACCAAGGCGACGAUCAGUAGCUGGUCUGAGAGGAUGAUCAGCCUCACUGGAACUGAGACACGGCCCAGACUCCUACGGGAGGCAGCAGUGGGGAAUAUUGGACAAUGGGCGCAAGCCUGAUCCAGCCAUGCCGCGUGUGUGAUGAAGGCCCUAGGGUUGUAAAGCCCUUUCGGCGGGGAAGAUAAUGACGGUACCCGCAGAAGAAGCCCCGGCUAACUUCGUGCCAGCCGCCGCCGUAA